GAGAAAGAGGGAGGGAGAAGGUUAACUUACUCUUUCGCGCUUUUGUUGGAAAAUGAUACGAGUUGCCCGAUGAUGAACAGAUACGAGCAACAAACGCGCUUCUCGCACGUAGUGUCUACGUCGUACCGACCUUGCCCAUCGCGUAUAUGCCUGCUUGCAUGCACGUACAUACAAAGUUAAGCGUCUACAUGCGUACACCGGAUAGUACACAGCGUACAAUCGCGUAUACCAGCGCGUACACCACCAAAGGAUAGUCGAGGAAGCCCCGAGGGCCUGUCGGAGGAAAAACGGAGAAUCCACGAAGGUACACUGCGACGUAGGAGCCAUCAUAGAGGAUGAUGCGAAGUCAACAAUGGCGUCCGGCUGUCGGUGAUGAGAGGAGAGAAGAGAGAUGGUCCAUUAGCUCGGCUGUCACUCAACGACCCGACUGGCUAGUACGCAUUAUGUACACACCCACCCACGGAUACGUGUCUACAGUACGCGUGACAUAAAAAUUCUAAUAGAAUUGUUUUGUGCUAGCUGGCUAGUAUAUACAAAGCAUGUGACAACAAUUAAAUUAAAUUAACAACGUA
Molecule: long non-coding RNA, 572 nt
Organism: Pogonomyrmex barbatus (red harvester ant)
Lineage: Eukaryota; Metazoa; Arthropoda; Insecta; Hymenoptera; Formicidae
Source: RefSeq, a predicted model, not a curated record